Molecule: long non-coding RNA, 484 nt
Filed under: Monodelphis domestica (gray short-tailed opossum)
Lineage: Eukaryota; Metazoa; Chordata; Mammalia; Didelphimorphia; Didelphidae
Description: lncRNA (ENSMODG00000042962.1)
Source: RNAcentral
CCUAGAGGGCGGGGCUGACGCUAGAGGAGACGGCCGGGGUCUUACUCCCACCCACGAAGCUUCCAAACCAGAUUCCGACAGCUCGGCAUUUUCCGUCAGUCUGGUCCCGUCUUCGGGCUCCCCACUUACCGCACGGAGCGCGGGGCUUGGGCUCCAGCAGCGGCUCAGGGCAGAGCACGGCCGAGGCAAGCUCCAGCCAGAAGAGGACUACUGAGAGCCAACGCAACGAGCGGAUGUGACAUGGGAGAUUCAACAAGAAUCCAAGGAAUCAUCUCAAAAUCUGAGUAUUUUAAUGGAAAAAGCAUCACUGGAAAGACUGGCUUCAUCUAGAGAACACAAUCUAGGACUGCAAUGAAAACAAAGAAGGACAAGAUGUCACAGGUUGAUAACUUGGAGCUCAUGUAAGCUAUAGGUCUGAGCGCCCUCUGUCAAGAGGUUGAAACUCAAAAGUCUGUCUGAAGAGUGAGCCCAAGUGCCCUCUCCC